This 394-nucleotide ribosomal RNA is filed under the name uncultured bacterium. RNAcentral's name for it is "partial 16S ribosomal RNA". It matches the Rfam family "Bacterial small subunit ribosomal RNA", at positions 338 to 729 of the family's 1533-position model. The record is from RNAcentral.
CCUACGGGGGGCAGCAGUGAGGAAUAUUGGUCAAUGGGCGCGAGCCUGAACCAGCCAAGUCGCGUGAGGGAAGACGGUUCUAUGGAUUGUAAACCUCUUUUGUCGGGGAGUAAACUACGCCACGUGUUCCUUUCUGUGUGUACCCUAUGAAUAAGCAUCGGCUAACUCCGUGCCAGCAGCCGCGGUAAUACGGAGGAUGCGAGCGUUAUCCGGAUUUAUUGGGUUUAAAGGGUGCGGAGGUGGGUAAUUAAGUCAGCGGUUAAAGUUUGUGGCUCAACCAUUUACGGGCCGUUGAAACUGGUUGACUUGAGUGAGCGAGAGGUAGGCGGAAUGCGUGGUGUAGCGGUGAAAUGCAUAGAUAUCACGCAGAACUCCGAUUGCGAAGGCAGCAUAC